This is a non-coding RNA of Halocaridina rubra (Hawaiian volcano shrimp), 73 nucleotides long. Lineage: Eukaryota; Metazoa; Arthropoda; Malacostraca; Decapoda; Atyidae. The record is from the annotation of a GenBank genome assembly.
ACCUUCUGUGGUGUAAUUGGUAGCACCUUUACUUAGUAAAUAUAAGUCCUAGGUUCAAGUCCUGGUUGGGCUA